This 601-nucleotide ribosomal RNA is filed under the name uncultured marine eukaryote. RNAcentral's name for it is "SSU rRNA". It matches the Rfam family "Eukaryotic small subunit ribosomal RNA", at positions 1 to 598 of the family's 1831-position model. The record is from RNAcentral.
AACCUGGUUGAUCCUGCCAGUAGUCAUAUGCUUGUCUCAAAGAUUAAGCCAUGCAUGUCUAAGUAUAAGCACUUGUACUGUGAAACUGCGAAUGGCUCAUUAAAUCAGUUAUCGUUUAUUUGAUUGUACUUUACUACAUGGAUACCUGUGGUAAUUCUAGAGCUAAUACAUGCGAGAAAUCCCAACUUCUGGAAGGGAUGUAUUUAUUAGAUUAAAAACCAAUGCGAAUCUUCGGCUUCGUUUUCUUGGUGAUUCAUGAUAACUUUUCGAAUCGCAUGGCCUAGAGCCGGCGAUAUUUCAUUCAAAUUUCUGCCCUAUCAACUGUCGAUGGUAAGGUAGUGGCUUACCAUGGUUAUAACGGGUGACGGAGAAUUAGGGUUCGAUUCCGGAGAGGGAGCCUGAGAAACGGCUACCACAUCUAAGGAAGGCAGCAGGCUCGAAAAUUACCCAAUCCCGACUCGGGGAGGUAGUGACAAGAAAUAACGAUACGGGGUCUUAAUAGGUCUCGCAAUUGGAAUGAGUACAAUUUAAAUCCUCUAACGAGGAUCAAUUGGAGGGCAAGUCUGGUGCCAGCAGCCGCGGUAAUUCCAGCUCCAAUAGC